Molecule: unclassified non-coding RNA, 310 nt
Filed under: Hevea brasiliensis (rubber tree)
Lineage: Eukaryota; Viridiplantae; Streptophyta; Magnoliopsida; Malpighiales; Euphorbiaceae
Source: RNAcentral
GAAGUUCAAUGUUUUUCUGGAUUCUGGAAUGACUGUGCCCUUUGCAAUGGAUCUAUUAGAAUAUUCUUUUUUGCAUCUUAUGCUUAUAUUCAUUUUGCUUGACCUAUUGCUUCAUUGUGCUGUUCUGGAAUUAAUGUGUUAUGCUGCUCAUUUCAAUUUAUCUACUAGAAUAUGGUUCUUUCAUUGUAUGUCCGGCUUUGCUUUGAGUCUAUGAAAAGUUGAAACACUUGAGUAAAGCUGUGUUGUCAGGAAAUGCUUUGCUCUUGCACCACUAUUCUAAUUAUUUUUUGGUAAAUGACCGAAUUUCUUU